UACCAGCACCCCGAGUGGUCGGGACGUUUAUUGGGCCUAAAGCCUCCGUAGCCGGUUCUACAAGUCUUCCGUUAAAUCCACCUGCUUAACAGAUGGGCUGCGGAAGAUACUAUGGAGCUAGGAGGCGGGAGAGGCAAGCGGUACUCGAUGGGUAGGGGUAAAAUCCGUUGAUCCAUUGAAGACCACCAGUGGCGAAGGCGGCUUGCCAGAACGCGCUCGACGGUGAGGGAUGAAAGCUGGGGGAGCAAACCGG
Molecule: ribosomal RNA, 253 nt
Filed under: uncultured bacterium
Lineage: Bacteria
Description: partial 16S ribosomal RNA
Rfam family: Archaeal small subunit ribosomal RNA
Source: RNAcentral